UGGGGAAUAUUGCACAAUGGGCGCAAGCCUGAUGCAGCCAUGCCGCGUGUAUGAAGAAGGCCUUCGGGUUGUAAAGUACUUUCAGCGGGGAGGAAGGCGAUAAGGUUAAUAACCUUGUCGAUUGACGUUACCCGCAGAAGAAGCACCGGCUAACUCCGUGCCAGCAGCCGCGGUAAUACGGAGGGUGCAAGCGUUAAUCGGAAUUACUGGGCGCAAAGCGCACGCAGGCGGUCUGUCAAGUCGGAUGUGAAAUCCCCGGGCUCAACCUGGGAACUGCAUUCGAAACUGGCAGGCUAGAGUCUUGUAGAGGGGGGUAGAAUUCCAGGUGUAGCGGUGAAAUGCGUAGAGAUCUGGAGGAAUACCGGUGGCGAAGGCGGCCCCCUGGACAAAGACUGACGCUCAGGUGCGAAAGCGUGGGGAGCAAACA
RNAcentral lists this ribosomal RNA (427 nucleotides) under uncultured bacterium. RNAcentral's name for it is "partial 16S ribosomal RNA". It matches the Rfam family "Bacterial small subunit ribosomal RNA", at positions 355 to 774 of the family's 1533-position model. The record is from RNAcentral.